GACGAACGCUGGCGGCGUGCUUAACACAUGCAAGUCGAACGGAAAGGCCCUGCUUUUGUGGGGUGCUCGAGUGGCGAACGGGUGAGUAACACGUGAGUAACCUGCCCUUGACUUUGGGAUAACUUCAGGAAACUGGGGCUAAUACCGGAUAGGAGCUCCUGCUGCAUGGUGGGGGUUGGAAAGUUUCGGCGGUUGGGGAUGGACUCGCGACUUAUCAGCUUGUUGGUGGGGUAGUGGCUUACCAAGGCUUUGACGGGUAGCCGGCCUGAGAGGGUGACCGGCCACAUUGGGACUGAGAUACGGCCCAGACUCCUACGGGAGGCAGCAGUGGGGAAUAUUGCACAAUGGGCGGAAGCCUGAUGCAGCAACGCCGCGUGCGGGAUGACGGCCUUCGGGUUGUAAACCGCCUUCGCCUGUGACGAAGCGUGAGUGACGGUAAUGGGUAAAGAAGCACCGGCUAACUACGUG
This 468-nucleotide ribosomal RNA is filed under the name uncultured bacterium. RNAcentral describes it as "partial 16S ribosomal RNA". It matches the Rfam family "Bacterial small subunit ribosomal RNA", at positions 28 to 507 of the family's 1533-position model. The record is from RNAcentral.